Molecule: non-coding RNA, 2534 nt
Organism: Paramuricea clavata
Lineage: Eukaryota; Metazoa; Cnidaria; Anthozoa; Malacalcyonacea; Plexauridae
Source: the annotation of a GenBank genome assembly
AGGUAUCUCAUUGUUUAAAUGAGAUCAUGGAAUUGUGCCUGUCAUUUUGCGCACUGCUGUCCCACGCUCAUUCAACAAUGUCAGAAAGAGAGCUUAAUCAGAUUCAAAAUAUCAAGAAGGUAAAGUCUGAGGACACAGAGGGCAGGUGUCUCCCCUCCCCCUCUUUUCAUGGAAAAGUGCCCCAUUUUUGGAAUGAAAUGCCAAUAUUUCCAAAGCUGCCCAACAUUGUCUUUCUUGUUUACAGUCGAUUUCAACUUACUUUUCACUCAAAUGUUCCGAACUUCGUUCCGAACUUCGCAAAUUCGUUGCCAAGUUCAAAAGUUCAUAAUGAAAUUUACAAACUGGUUUGUAAACGAAGCCUCUGAUUGGCUAUUAAAUCAAACCAGCCAAUCAAAUGCCCACUUUACAAACCCGUUUGUGAAUUUCAUUAUGAACCUUUGAACUUGGCAACGAAUUUGCGAAGUUCGGAACGAAGUUCGGAACAUUUGAGUGAAAAGUAAGUUGAAAUUGACUGUAAAGCCUUGGUCGAACGAGAUGAGAGUUGAUGAGAGUUGAGAAGUAAGAGUUCGCAUCAGAAUUUUCUCAACACUCACGUCCUGGUCAAACGAGAACAAGAGUUGCAUGAGAGUUGACUGGAUAUUACCACGUGAUAGCGAACACUCUUAUCAACUCUUAAUAAAAUUUGAAUCAGAUCAAAGUUGAUGAGGGUUGAUAGGCAGUUCCAGCUAUAGACUAAAUUUUGAUAUAGGCAAUUAAGAAGAAAAAAAUCCAUCACCACAGCUAGAAAGAGCAUGUCAAAAUUAGUAAAAUUGCAAAGUUUGGUUGCGAAAUGUUGUAAAACGAGGAAAAUAUAGCCCUACGAAAUUUGCAAUUUUUUUUGUACUAAUUUGUAUUACGCGCGGGAAAAUGCACCACAUUUGGGGCGAAAGUGGUGCAUUCUCCCGUGCGUAAUACAAAUUAAUACAAAAUUUGCAAAUUUCGUAGGGCUAUAUUUUCCUCAUUUUACAACAUUUCGCAACAAACUUUGCAAUUUUACUAAUUUUGACAUGCUCUUUCUAGCUGUGGUGAUGGAUUUUGUUCUUCUUGCCUAGAUCAACAUUUAAUCUAUAGCUGGAAUCAACCAUUUGACGGUCAAACGCGAGCGAGAGUUGCAUCAACUCUCAUCGACUCUCGUCAACUGAUCAAUUCAUCAACUCUCGUCAACUGAUCAAUUCAUCAACUGAUCAAUUCAUCAAUUCUCGUCAACUGAUCAAUUCAUCAACUCUCAUCAACUCUCAUCAACUGAUCAAUUCAUCAACUCUCGUCAACUCUCAUCAACUGAUCAAUUCAUCAACUCUCGUCAACUGAUGAAUUCAUCAACUCUCAUCAACUCUCGUCAACUGAUCAAUUCAUCAACUCUCAUCAACUCUCAUCGACUGAUCAAUUCAUCAACUCUGAUCAACUCUCAUCAACUGAUCAACUCUGAUCAACUCUCAUCAACUGAUCAAUUCAUCAACUCUGAUCAACUCUCAUCAACUGAUCAAUUCAUCAACUCUCAAUCUCUCAUCCUCGUUUUAUUAGGGCUUACCACUUACGGUAUAUUUUCUUUGCCUAUUCAAUUAGAAUUACGCACGGCAAUCGUCGUUGCUGCUGAAGUUAUUCUCUGGUGUAAGAAGUCAUCAAGCCAGUCCCCAUUUGGCGCAGUUCUUACUUCGGAUUGAUUUCAAUAAGUAUUUUUCAUCCUCGCAAACUGGACUUCACAAACAAAGUUAGACCAUAGCUAAUUUGGGUUUCUACGAACCAGUCAAUUGACAAAUUUGGCCAACGUUGUUUACAGCGUUGCCACCCAAUUUACAACUUUUAAAUAGAUAACAGGUAUAAACAAACGUUAGCCAAAUUUGUCUAUUAUAUUAUUAUAUGAUAACGACAUUAAAUAAUGCAUUACAAUUCAAGAUGGUGUCGCACCAUAGUAUUGUUUUACCAUCAUAGUUAGUAGAAUAAAUGGUUUGGAACAUCAUUAGAACAACAACAUAACUCAUUAUCUAUGUUAGUCAACGUUUAUUCAUAAAUCUGGUCGUUCACCGUCACGUGCAUAUUGUAUUUUUGCCAAAUCCACCAAUAUCAAUUUCCAAUUUACCCUAUUGUUCGAGUCACAGAUAGGUACUGUAACUUUCCUAAAACAUUGCUGUUGGUUAGUUGGGCUAAAAUACAAUACACACGUGACGGUGAACGGAUUUAUGAAUAAACUAUGACUAACAUAGAUAAUGAGUUAUAUUGUUAUUCUAAUGAGUUUCCAAAUCAUCUAUUCCGGUUAACUAUGGCCAUAGACCCAAAGUACCGUAGUAUCAUGAUAACCAUAGUACCUUAGUAUAGUACCUUGCUUGGUGUCGUUCAGGGGCGGCGGAACAGGGGGGGCUAGGGGGGCUAAAGCCCCCCCAGAAGUAAAAGUGGGGGGGCUUAGCCCCCCCAGAAAAUUUGAAUUUUUCGAAAAAAUUUUGAAAAUUAGGGAAAAAUUUAGGUUAUUUUUUGAAAAUUUAGGUAUAAGGGGACAAAUU